Molecule: transfer RNA, 83 nt
Filed under: Candidatus Sungbacteria bacterium RIFCSPHIGHO2_02_FULL_52_23
Lineage: Bacteria; Candidatus Sungiibacteriota
Description: tRNA-Leu
Rfam family: tRNA
About the family: Transfer RNA (tRNA) molecules are approximately 80 nucleotides in length.
Source: RNAcentral
GCUGGGGUGGUGGAAUGGUAUACACGAGAGACUUAAAAUCUCUUGCCUGUAAGGGCUUGCGGGUUCGAGUCCCGCCCCCAGCA